This 878-nucleotide ribosomal RNA is filed under the name uncultured phototrophic eukaryote. Its description in RNAcentral is "bacterial SSU rRNA". It matches the Rfam family "Bacterial small subunit ribosomal RNA", at positions 509 to 1397 of the family's 1533-position model. The record is from RNAcentral.
CAGCAGCCGCGGUAAUACAGGGGGAGCAAGCGUUAUCCGGAAUGAUUGGGCGUAAAGCGUCUGUAGGUCGCAUCUAAAGUCCACUGUUAAAUACCAGGGCUCAACCUUGGACAGGCAUUGGAGUACUUAUUUGCUAGAGUGUGGGAGAGGUAGGGGGAAUUCCUCAUGGAGCGGUGAAAUGCGUAGAGAUGAGGAGGAACACCGGUGGCGAAAGCGCCCUACUGGACCAAGACUGACACUGAGAGACGAAAGCUAGAGGAGUGACCAGGAUUAGAUACCCUGUUAAUUCUAGCUGUAAACGAUGGAAACUAAAUGCUGCGCAAAGCAGUGUUGUAGCUAACGCGUUAAGUUUCCCGCCUGGGGAGUAUGACCGCAAGGUUGAAACUCAAAGGAAUUGACGGGGGCCUGCACAAGCAGAGGAUUAUGUGGUUUAAUUCGAUGCAACGCGAAGAACCUUACCAGGGUUUGACAUACCAAUAAGUUCUCAGAAAUGAGGAUGUGCUUUAAAUCUGCGAAGAAAAAGAAUUUGGAUACAGGUGGUGCAUGGCUGUCGUCAGCUCGUGCCUUGAGGUGUAUGAUUAAGUUCCAUAACGAGCGCAACCCUUGUCUUUAGUUAUAUUCUCUAAAGAGACUGCCGGUGUAAGCCGGAGGAAGGAGAGGAUGACGUCAAGUCAGCAUGCCCCUUACACCCUGGGCGACACACGUAAUACAAUGGCCAAGACAAUGAGAUGCGAAUAUGCAAAUAUCAGCGAACCUCGAAACUUGGCCCCAGUUCGAAUUGCGGGCUGCAACUCGCCCGCAUGAAGCCGGAUUUGCUUGUAAUCGCCGGUCAGCCAUACGGCGGUGAAUACGUUCCCAGGCUUGUACACACCGCCCAG